Long non-coding RNA from Dicentrarchus labrax (European seabass), 692 nucleotides. RefSeq lists it as uncharacterized. The transcript has 5 exons. Lineage: Eukaryota; Metazoa; Chordata; Actinopteri; Moronidae. The record is from RefSeq and is a predicted model, not a curated record.
CCCCAACCACAUCUCACCUGCAGGUCACUGAGGACCCCAACCACAUCUCACCUGCAGGUCUCUGAGGACCUCAACCACAUCUCACCUGCAGGUCACUGAGGACCCCAACCACAUCUCACCUGCAGGUCUCUGAGGACCUCAACCACAUCUCACCUGCAGGUCUCUGAGGACCUCAACCACAUCUCACCUGCAGGUCACUGAGGACCUCAACCACAUCUCACCUGCAGGUCUCUGAGGACCUCAACCACAUCUCACCUGCAGGUCUCUGAGGACCUCAACCACAUCUCACCUGCAGGUCACUGAGGACCCCAACCACAUCUCACCUGCAGGUCUCUGAGGACCUCAACCACAUCUCACCUGCAGGUCUCUGAGGACCUCAACCACAUCUCACCUGCAGGUCACUGAGGACCCCAACCACAUCUCACCUGCAGGUCACUGAGGACCCCAACCACAUCUCACCUGCAGGUCUCUGAGGCUCAUGAGUUCAGUAUCAGCGGGGUUUAACUGCCUUAAUAAACUUUAAUUACAGUUCUAUAACUUUUAACAUUCACAUUAAAAUAAUAACAAUCCAAUAAUAACAGCACACUGCUGUAAAGCCUGAUUAUUUGUAUUAUAGCAGAGUUCACCUGUAUUUAUAGAUCAUUGUUUUACACUGUAAAUAUCUUUAAUUAAAUAUUAAGAAGACAUUUUAU